RNAcentral lists this ribosomal RNA (820 nucleotides) under uncultured Bacteroidota bacterium. RNAcentral's name for it is "bacterial SSU rRNA". It matches the Rfam family "Bacterial small subunit ribosomal RNA", at positions 60 to 868 of the family's 1533-position model. Lineage: Bacteria; Pseudomonadati; Bacteroidota. The record is from RNAcentral.
AGUCGAGGGGCAGCGGGGAAAGCUUGCUUUUCCGCCGGCGACCGGCGCCCGGGUGCGCACCGCGUAUGGAACCUGCCUUGUACAGGGGAAUAGCCCAGGGAAACUUGGAUUAAUGCCCCGUAGUACCGUAUUUCGGCAUCCUUAUACGGUUAAAGCCUUCGGGCGGUACAAGAUGGCCAUGCGUCCCAUUAGCUAGAUGGUAAGGUAACGGCUUACCAUGGCUACGAUGGGUAGGGGCCCUGAGAGGGGGAUCCCCCACACUGGUACUGAGACACGGACCAGACUCCUACGGGAGGCAGCAGUGAGGAAUAUUGGACAAUGGAGGAGACUCUGAUCCAGCCAUGCCGCGUGCAGGAAGAAUGCCCUAUGGGUAGUAAACUGCUUUUAUACGGGAAGAAAAAGAGCUACGUGUAGCUUACUGACGGUACCGUAAGAAUAAGGACCGGCUAACUCCGUGCCAGCAGCCGCGGUAAUACGGAGGGUCCGAGCGUUAUCCGGAAUUAUUGGGUUUAAAGGGUCCGUAGGCGGGCCGAUAAGUCAGGGGUGAAAGUUUGCCGCUCAACGGUAGAACUGCCUUUGAUACUGUCGGUCUUGAGUUAUAGUGAAGUUGCCGGAAUAUGUAGUGUAGCGGUGAAAUGCAUAGAUAUUACAUAGAACACCGAUUGCCAAGGCAGGUGACUAACUAUAUACCUGACGCUGAUGGACCAAAGCGUGGGGAGCGAACAGGAUUAGAUACCCUGGUAGUCCACGCCCUAAACGAUGGAUACCUAGCUGUCCGGAACCUUGAGUUCUGGGCGGCCAAGCGAAAGUGAUAAUUAUC